AGCUUUGCGCAGUGGCAGUAUCGUAGCCAAUGAGGUUUAUCCGAGGCGCGAUUAUUGCCAAAGAUAAGUUGCAGGUGAGUCAGGCUUCAGUCAAUGUAACAUAUACUUACUGAUUUUAUGUGCCCAACAAGGGU
Molecule: small nuclear RNA, 134 nt
Organism: Lutra lutra (Eurasian river otter)
Lineage: Eukaryota; Metazoa; Chordata; Mammalia; Carnivora; Mustelidae
Product: U4 spliceosomal RNA
Exons: 1
Source: RefSeq, a predicted model, not a curated record